Molecule: ribosomal RNA, 228 nt
Filed under: Enterococcus faecium
Lineage: Bacteria; Bacillati; Bacillota; Bacilli; Lactobacillales; Enterococcaceae
Description: partial 16S ribosomal RNA
Rfam family: Bacterial small subunit ribosomal RNA
Source: RNAcentral
UUUUAUGAGAGUUUGAUCCUGGCUCAGGACGAACGCUGGCGGCGUGCCUAAUACAUGCAAGUCGUACGCUUCUUUUUCCACCGGAGCUUGCUCCACCGGAAAAAGAAGAGUGGCGAACGGGUGAGUAACACGUGGGUAACCUGCCCAUCAGAAGGGGAUAACACUUGGAAACAGGUGCUAAUACCGUAUAACAAUCGAAACCGCAUGGUUUUGAUUUGAAAGGCGCUU